RNA transcript from Sorghum bicolor (sorghum), 1586 nucleotides. RefSeq lists it as uncharacterized. Lineage: Eukaryota; Viridiplantae; Streptophyta; Magnoliopsida; Poales; Poaceae. The transcript has 4 exons. The record is from RefSeq and is a predicted model, not a curated record.
CUUAAGUACUGAUUAUUCACAUGUGCUUGAAUUUAUCUCUUACCCAGUAUACUCAAAUUGUACAACCUACAUUAUCGAGCCUUUCAAUUUCUCGUAACCGUGUAAAAUUGUACUUUUGUUAGAGUAACCAGUUUCUGAAAACAACUUGACAUCAAUUGUGGUAACUACAUAUUGUAAUUAUCAUCCCGAGUCAUCUGAAUUCUCGCAAUUUUUUAGUAGAUUUGACUCUUCAUUGUAGUAACUACUCUUUGUCAAAAAUGUUUGAUUCAAAAUUUCAGAACUAUUUUAGAGUACAAUUUUAUGAAUUAUCAUACAAAAUUCAUGGUAAAUUUGACUCCCUGUUAUAGUAGUUGGCCCUGUUAGAAACCACUAGAUGCAAAAUUGUGGUAACUCCACAUCCUAAAUACUAUAUCAUGCUAUUUAUAUUACUAUUUCAUGAUAAAAUCUUGUAAUUUGUAACUAGUAUCAUUAUAGUAAUUUGUUUCUUAGAAUAAUUUCAUGCUAAUUUAUGGUAAUUGUCACUGCUAAGUGUCAUAUUAAGCCAUUCAAGUUAUCAAAAAUAUUUCCUACUCCAGUGACCAGUUACUAUAACAAUAUAAUUAGUUAUGGUAAUUCUCCCUCCAAAUGCCUACAAAAAAUAUUUACUUAGUGCCAGUUAACUAAUGAUAGGUUUUCUUGGAGUAGAUAGUUUUUCAUACAUAUGUUUAACAAGAAGUCUUUGUAAAUUUCUUAUAUCAUUUACGGAUGUUCCUUUCAUGGUGAUUUUUUUUGGAGAUGGGAUCUCCUUCGUCAAUUGCAAUGGAGAAGAUCUCAACUCUAGUGAGGGUGUAGUGAGGAUGCAUGCACGUUGCAGGAAAUGUGCCUCGAUCAGUUCAGAUUGUCUCAGCUGCUCUUCCACAUAUCGGCAAGGUCAUUGGCAGUUGGAUCAGGGCGGCGGCGGAUCCUCGCUGGUGUGCAUUAUGUGGAUUCUCCAACCCCGCCGGUUGCAGUGGCGCCCUUUCCCCGACCGAUGGUGGCGUCCAUGAUCCGUGUACGACGAGCACCUUCAGUGAUCAACUACAGGAAUCUUGGUGCUCGAUUUCUAUCCUCACCAAUUGCUUGUUCUGCGUCUAUCAUGAUCCUGUAUACAUUCCUGAUCUGAUUGACUGAUGCCAAACGACGUCAAUUCAUCAGCAAUGGCUGCCACUUGCUGGGCGUGAUUUUCUAUUGCCGUGACCGUGACUUGUCCAACAAAAUGCAGAUUGCUAACAAGCCUUCAACUGGUAAUGAGACUUCUCGAUAGCAGCUUGUUACAUUACAGAGCAGGAAACAGACAUGACCUGAUCUCAAACUGAUCAAUAGUCAAGCACUAGGAUGCACAUAUUGGAGUAGUGUCAGUGUGCUACAGUGCUAGAUCGAGAAUGUGCAAGAAAAACAAUUAAAUUUAGAUCCUGCAAUGUUGAGUAACCUUUUGUGAGGACAUAUGUUGUUUCACAAUGUCUACCAAUUGAUGUUGUAUUUUGCGUACUGUAUCAAUCUUUGUAAAUAUUUUUUAUUGUAGAUUAUCGUAAAUAUUCGUUAAUGCAAAAUCUCGUAAAUAUUUCUUA